Molecule: long non-coding RNA, 769 nt
Filed under: Bemisia tabaci
Lineage: Eukaryota; Metazoa; Arthropoda; Insecta; Hemiptera; Aleyrodidae
Description: lncRNA ENSSWEETPG007655
Source: RNAcentral
AUCCAGUCCAUUUGAAACGUAAAGACGUAGACAACAGUCUACUGACUCUAAGCUUUCGGAUAGUAGUUUUUAUAGAGGAUCUGCAAUACCAGGCACAAACACAGGUGGAAUACCAAAUCUCACCAUCAAACGAGAACCAGAGUUCAGUCCUGUCUACAAUCCUGGUUAUCCCAACGUUCAAUCUCCAUCACUGUACGCUGCAAGCGCGUCCCGGUCUCCGUCCGUCUAUGCUCCCAGCACAUCCCGUACCCCAUCCCCAGGAAUGGAUUAUCAUCACUCUCCAGGAUCUCAAAACUUUGGGAUGGCCCCUGGCUCACAUAUGAUGGAUGGCGUCAUGAACGAUCAACCCAGUGCAGUCAUUAAUGAAACGAUCAAUGCCUCUCAUGUCUCCGCUACACUUCACUAUGCAGGCGGCCAGAUGUACACAAAUCCAGAGCCUCAAAAUGACUUCAGCGCCAGCGCGGCUCUCAACAACCUCGGAGGAAUGAACCCUUCCUUCCCUGACUAUACGCCACUUUCCAGGGUCACCGGCCAAAACGUUUAUAACAUUGAAUCACAAAAUACAAACUAUGUGAACCUUGACCAGCCGACCCAGGGCGUAGAAAAUAGUAUCUCUUCGUUACCUGAGAGUAUCUCAAAUAUCAAUUUAUCAGACUACAUUCCAAAUCGAAUGACAGAUUCAACAAACAGUAUGAUGGAUAGUUUUAGUAAGUACCUGAAUUCUACAAUACAGGAACUUCCAGAUGUUGAUAAUAAUAACCAGGGCUAG